AGCAGCCGCGGUAAUUCCAGCUCCAAUAGCGUAUAUUAAAGUUGUUGCAGUUAAAAAGCUCGUAGUUGAAUUUCGGGGUCAGUAGGUUGGUCGUGCCACCGGUACGUACUGGUUUCACUGAUUCCUCCUUCCUGAAGAACCGUAAUGCCAUUAAUUUGGUGUUGCGGGGAAACAGGACUGUUACUUUGAAAAAAUUAGAGUGUUUAAAGCAGGCUAACGCUUGAAUACAUUAGCAUGGAAUAAUGAAAUAGGACGAUCGAUCCUAUUUUGUUGGUUUCUAGGAUUGACGUAAUGAUUAAUAGGGAUAGUUGGGGGCAUUAGUAUUCAAUUGUCAGAGGUGAAAUUCUUGGAUUUAUUGAAGACUAACUACUGCGAAAGCAUUUGCCAAGGAUGUUUUCAUUAAUCAAGAACGAAAGUUAGGGGAUCGAAGACGAUCAGAUACCGUCGUAGUCUUAACCAUAAACUAUGCCGACUAGGGAUCGGAUGAUGUUAAUUUUACAAUGACUCAUUCGGCGCCUUA
Molecule: ribosomal RNA, 520 nt
Filed under: uncultured Glomus
Lineage: Eukaryota; Fungi; Glomeromycota; Glomeromycetes; Glomerales; Glomeraceae
Description: SSU rRNA
Rfam family: Eukaryotic small subunit ribosomal RNA
Source: RNAcentral